RNAcentral lists this ribosomal RNA (422 nucleotides) under uncultured cyanobacterium. RNAcentral describes it as "bacterial SSU rRNA". It matches the Rfam family "Bacterial small subunit ribosomal RNA", at positions 358 to 795 of the family's 1533-position model. The record is from RNAcentral. Lineage: Bacteria; Bacillati; Cyanobacteriota.
GGAAUUUUCCGCAAUGGGCGAAAGCCUGACGGAGCAACGCCGCGUGAGGGAUGAAGGCCUCUGGGCUGUAAACCUCUUUUAUCAAGGAAGAAGAUCUGACGGUACUUGAUGAAUAAGCCACGGCUAAUUCCGUGCCAGCAGCCGCGGUAAUACGGGAGUGGCAAGCGUUAUCCGGAAUUAUUGGGCGUAGAGCGUCCGCAGGCGGUCUGUCAAGUCUGCUGUUAAAGCGUGGAGCUUAACUCCAUUUCGGCAGUGGAAACUGACAGACUAGAGUGUGGUAGGAGCAGAGGGAAUUCCCGGUGUAGCGGUGAAAUGCGUAGAUAUCGGGAAGAACACCAGUGGCGAAGGCGCUCUGCUGGGCCAUAACUGACGCUCAUGGACGAAAGCCAGGGGAGCGAAAGGGAUUAGAUACCCCAGUAGUC